GUGACAAAUACCAGCAGCUGCGGGACCCUCCACCUCAGACCAGAUCCCAGAUCUACAGGGCCCUCAGAGAAAGGGGCCCUCUCUGUAAGAGCCUGCUCCUCCGCCACACUGAGCGCCACCAGCAGCCAAUCAGCAGAGAGAAUUUCUGUUUUUGUUUUCUUUUAAUCACAAGAAGGAGUUGAGGAGGACUCUUCAACCAAUGAGGCUCAUCCAGGAAGGUCAUGGAAGACGGGAAAUCCAGAGACCUGGAACGUGAACGUCCAGAAAAGUAGGAGAAUGAGGGGUCUGGAUUGAAGGAGGCCAGACAAAUGGGGACACCAUGCCAGUCUGCAACCUGCCAAAGGUUCACUAAACUCUACUGCAGAAAAGCACAAGACACAUAAUAAGAACAAGAUUUCUAAGUAUUUCUGGGGGAAUUUGGACUGGAGAAAUGAUUGUGAAGUCUCUGGUGGAGGGGAGCAGAUGGAUCCAGGAGGUACGCAUCCAUUAUUUGUCACCUUGGAGUAGACUGGAGAAGAAUCUGAGUGUGCCAACACUUGUUCCUGUCAACAUCAGGCAUAAAGCAGUGGUGUUUUUAGAAGUGGGACAGGAAGAACAGGAGAAAGUCAUGAGAAGACUGAGGACAGGAACGGAAGGAAAAGAAAGACCAGUGCGAUGCCUACUGUUCAUUCAAGCCUGGAAACAUCAAAGCAGCUUCAUGGGACACAAAGGCUGUGAAGCGGAAGGACAAAGAAGAUGCAGGUGAGAAGACCUCGGUGGCGCUCACUCCAAUUCCAGGCCAUACCGUGUGAGCUACGUAUCUUCAAGGACUUCAGCCAGAUGGGGAACUGGAGAAAAAGCCGGGGAUCCAACGUUGCAUGACCUCCAAACAAUCAGAUCUGUCCCAUGUCUUAAAAGAAGAGUAUCACCACAGCAGCCCCACUGUGCACAUCCAGCCAGCCAGUUAAAGAGAUGAAGUUCAAACAGCCCCAAGAACUGAAGGUUUUGCCCAAGAACUUCCACUCAUCCUACGAUGGAGUGGACCACGAGUGAUGCCCGUCAGCAGCUGGAGCCUCACGCAGACACACACACACACUGAUGUUCAUAGGCUAGAUUGGUUACAGUUGUUCAUUAAAAUGAGCGUAAUCAUAUUUUUGCAUUAUUUUUUUAAUGCAAAAAUAUAAUUAGUAAAUGCUGUGAACAGUAAAGUGUUCUCAAUAUUAUAAAGAUCGAUGGCAUCGAACCAACAGCAAGCACACCAAAAGGAUUUACAGAAAAUGACCAGCAGGUGCUGCCCUGCACCUCCCUCAGCUGUGAUCACCUGGAGCUCCACUGGAGUUCAUCCUGCUGUGUUUAAAGACUCAUCACACCUGAGAUGGUCCAGUUAGUUUUAUACUCAAGACUGCCGACAUUUGAACAAAUUUCUGAGUAAAAAAAGGGGCUUUGCACCUUUGUAGCCAUAGAUUAUCAUUUAGCACAAGUAGCCUCUACCCAUCAAUACCGGUACCUGAUGUGAUUUUUUUUUUAAAAAUAAAAAGCCUUGAUGGCAGAUGCAACCCAAUAAGACUAAAUAAUUAUAUCAUAUUUUAUUAUUAAGCUCAGUUCUGCUUUCACUAAAUUUGCAGUUAGAUAAAUAACCGGGUGGGAAAAACCAUGGAUGACUCAAAACAUGCGCCAAGUUAAUGUAUUUAUUCUUAAUCAAAAGAAAAAGGCUUUAAUCAACAAACAACGUAUCAACAACUAAACAACACAGGAUGCGACACAAUAGGCCACACAGACUCGGCGCUGGGGAAGCACACACGUCGCCCACCACACGGCUUCCACUGAGCGGGAAUGCCGCCUCCACGGAGUCACCGACCUCACGACGCGAGGAGAAGUUGCCAGCGGCACCCCGCCGGUCACGUCCUACAAGUCACGAAGUAGAUCACACAGUAGAUCACACAGACUAAUGCGAGCCCAAGGAAGGGUGAGUGGAUGAGUGAGAAGUGAGACGUCGGGUUCGAGAGCGCUCCACCGGCUCUGCUUAUGUGGCCCACUAAUUGGCCCCAGCUGUGAGCUCCACCCCACGUCACACUCAGCGGGUACAGGUACACACCUGCAAGAGAGAGACAGACACACCCACAGCAACGCAAACACAGCCCACGGACCUCACGGGUCGUAACACCCGUUUACUGAGAUGUGCGCCUUGAUUUGGAACCAGGUCCGAUCAACAAGUUCCCAGGCUCCUGUUAUUGAAGCUGUUCCAACAUCAACUGUAAAAUGUGAUCAAAUAUCUCCUCCGCUGCGAGGAAGAAGUCACAGGGCCCAGUUUGAACGAUCUAAGUGCGUGGCGUGUUUUGGGCGCAACAUGCAACAAACCAAUCAGAUUUGCGUGCGCUUGCACUUUGGCGCAUUGCUAUCAUGAUAGCAGAUGAAUGGCGCAGUAUAAAACAUCAAGUGACUGAUUGAACAGCAGAUUAACAGCGAUCUAAAAACUGUCUCAUGAAGCCAGAUGUUCCUCUGCAGCUCUGUGUUCAUCAGUGAAGCAGACUGGAGUCUGGGACCAGACAGACAGACGCUGUCUCCUCUAUGAAGCGUCUGGAUCCUCACUGCGCUGCGUUAUUAGAAACUAUGAUGAACCGGUCGGGGGGUCACAUCUCUCCCCUGCAGUGGUUUAAUUAUUUUGUGUUUUGUUGCGGAAGGAGUGUUUAAUGAUUUACUUUCAUGAUCAGAGAGGCUGCUAUCAGUCAUUUAAAACGUUUCCAUGUGCGCAAAAAAGUCGCAACAAAUAUCGUGGGGCAUUCAAGAAGCAAAAAAAUUAUAAACUUGACAUAACAGGACAGAGGAAACUCUCCAGAAGGCAGAGCAAUCAACUUUUAGCUUCUGAAAUAAUUGAGACGCUCUGAGGGGGCUCAGGAUCGAUCGGGAGGACGCUGCUUUACUCCAGUUUCACUGGACUGUGUGCGAGAAGAACUCAGAACAUCAAUUAACAUUAGAUCCUGACCGAUCCUGUCACUUCUCGGGAGAUUUUAAUAUUAAGUUGUUGCUGUGCCUCGUGCGUAAAGUGGAGUAAAAAAUAGCAAAAAACAAACAGUGAAAUACUGCGCCGCUGACUUGCUGUUUGGUCAAUGGUACAGUCGCUUUCCGUUGCUUCACAAUAGGAAUGCGCCAACAAUUUGCCUGAGUGACCACAUCUUAUUUUAACACUCCCAUGGACCACAAUCUGCUAUUUAAACAACAUGGGCGUUUGGUGUAAAAAUGACAACUGCGUCGGUUAAAACCUCUCACACACAGUCCAGGUUCAUCCAGAGAAACUGUUUGGAGUAAAGCAGCCGUCCUCCUGAUCAGUCCUGAGCGCCAUCAGAGCAUCGAAAUUAUUUCAGAAGCUAAAAGUUGAAUUCUAGUUCCUCUGCAAUUUCCUCUGCCCUGUCAUGUCAAGUUAAUGACUUCAGCCUUUGUAUUUUUUGCUGCUCAAAUAUCCCACUAUAUUUGUUGUGACUUGCGCACAUGACGUUUAAAUUGACCGACAGCAGCCUCUCUGGGAGAUGUGACCCACAACCGGUUCAUAGUUUAUAGAAACGCAGCGCAGUGACAAUCCAGACGGUUCAUAGAGGAGACAGCGUCUCAUGUCUUACUGUAUAAAGAGCUAAGCGCCCCCGUAGUUCGCACCCUGGGAGGACCUGACCUGUGGCGCACUGGCAUUUGGGUUCUCUAUCAUCACAACGCACUCUCACAUUGCAUUUGGAAACGGGCAGUUCAUCAAGCUGAAGUGUAGCUAUUUUGACUCAGCAGAGGAGAUCAUAUUUGAUCACAUCACUCAUCACAGAUGUUGGAUAAGCUUAAAUAAGGUGACUUCCUGGGAGGUUCCAAGUCAGUUUCCAAACUUUUUUUUUAUUGCACCUGGUUUCAUAUGCUAUGUCAUAUCAAGGUACAUAGGCCUGUAAUAAACCAAUUAA
Long non-coding RNA from Micropterus salmoides (largemouth bass), 3914 nucleotides. RefSeq lists it as uncharacterized. The record is from RefSeq and is a predicted model, not a curated record. NCBI's taxonomy places the organism in Eukaryota, Metazoa, Chordata, Actinopteri, Centrarchiformes, Centrarchidae. The transcript has 4 exons.